This is a transfer RNA of Dacryopinax sp., 84 nucleotides long. It matches the Rfam family "tRNA". From Rfam's summary of the family: Transfer RNA (tRNA) molecules are approximately 80 nucleotides in length. Their secondary structure includes four short double-helical elements and three loops (D, anti-codon, and T loops). NCBI's taxonomy places the organism in Eukaryota, Fungi, Basidiomycota, Dacrymycetes, Dacrymycetales, Dacrymycetaceae. The record is from Rfam.
GGCACCUUGGCGCAGUUGGCUAGCGCAUCUGUCUAACACCCUAGUGGCCACAGAAGGUCUUGAGUUCGAGCCUCAAAGGUGUCA